CUAGUAAUGGCAGGUCAGCAUACUGCCGUGAAUACGUUCCCGGGCCUUGUACACACCGCCCGUCACACCAUGAGAGUUGGGGAUACCCAAAGCCCGUGAGCCAACUUUAAAAGAGGCAGCGGUCUAAGGUAGAAUCAAUGAUUGGGGUGAAGUCGUAACAAGGUACC
RNAcentral lists this ribosomal RNA (167 nucleotides) under uncultured bacterium. RNAcentral describes it as "partial 16S ribosomal RNA". It matches the Rfam family "Bacterial small subunit ribosomal RNA", at positions 1335 to 1500 of the family's 1533-position model. The record is from RNAcentral.